RNAcentral lists this ribosomal RNA (497 nucleotides) under uncultured bacterium. Its description in RNAcentral is "partial 16S ribosomal RNA". It matches the Rfam family "Bacterial small subunit ribosomal RNA", at positions 28 to 507 of the family's 1533-position model. The record is from RNAcentral.
GAUGAACGCUGGCUGCGUGCCUAAUACAUGCAAGUCGAGCGAACAGAUAAGGAGCUUGCUCCUUUGACGUUAGCGGCGGACGGGUGAGUAACACGUGGGUAACCUACCUAUAAGACUGGAAUAACUCCGGGAAACCGGGGCUAAUGCCGGAUAACAUUUAGAACCGCAUGGUUCUAAAGUGAAAGAUGGUUUUGCUAUCACUUAUAGAUGGACCCGCGCCGUAUUAGCUAGUUGGUAAGGUAACGGCUUACCAAGGCAACGAUACGUAGCCGACCUGAGAGGGUGAUCGGCCACACUGGAACUGAGACACGGUCCAGACUCCUACGGGAGGCAGCAGUAGGGAAUCUUCCGCAAUGGGCGAAAGCCUGACGGAGCAACGCCGCGUGAGUGAUGAAGGUCUUCGGAUCGUAAAACUCUGUUAUUAGGGAAGAACAAAUGUGUAAGUAACUGUGCACGUCUUGACGGUACCUAAUCAGAAAGCCACGGCUAACUACGUG